UCUAGGCAAUUGCGAGUCGAGAGGUGCAAGACCUCGGCGCACUGCUCAGUAACACGUGGACAACCUACCCUGUGGAGGGGGAUAACCCCGGAAAACUGGGGAUAAUACCCCAUAGGUUAGGGAGGCUGGAAUGCCCCCUAGCUCAAAGGUCCGCCGCCACAGGAUGGGUCUGCGGCCGAUUAGGUUGUUGUUGGGGUAACGGCCCAACAAGCCUUUGAUCGGUACGGGUUGUGGGAGCAAGAGCCCGGAGAUGGAUUCUGAGACACGAAUCCAGGCCCUACGGGGCGCAGCAGGCGCGAAAACUUUACAAUGCGAGAAAUCGUGAUAAGGGAACCCCGAGUGCCCGUAAAUUCGGGCUGUCCGCCAGUGCAAAAAACUGGUGAAGAAAGAGCCGGGCAAGACCGGUGCCAGCCGCCGCGGUAAUACCGGCGGCUCGAGUGGUGGCCACUAUUACUGGGCUUAAAGCGUCCGUAGCUUGGUUGUUAAGUCUCCUGGGAAAUCCAUCGGCUCAACCGAUGGGCGUUCAGGAGAUACUGGCAACCUAGGGACCGGGAGAGGUGAGAGGUACUCCAGGGGUAGGAGUGAAAUCCUGUAAUCCUUGGGGGACCACCUGUGGCGAAGGCGUCUCACUAGAACGGCUCCGACAGUGAGGGACGAAAGCUGGGGGAGCAAACCGGAUUAGAUACCCGGGUAGUCCCAGCUGUAAACGAUGCGCGUUAGGUGUAUCGGUGACCACGAGUCACCGAGGUGCCGAAGAGAAAUCGUGAAACGUGCCGCCUGGGAAGUACGGUCGCAAGGCUGAAACUUAAAGGAAUUGGCGGGGGAGCACCACAACAGGUGGAGCCUGCGGUUUAAUCGGACUCAACGCCGGGAAGCUCACCGGAUAAGACAGCUGAAUGAUAGCCGGGUUGAAGACUCUGCUUGACUAGCUGAGAGGAGGUGCAUGGCCGUCGUCAGUCGUACUGAGGAAU
This 971-nucleotide ribosomal RNA is filed under the name uncultured Methanomicrobiales archaeon. RNAcentral describes it as "bacterial SSU rRNA". It matches the Rfam family "Archaeal small subunit ribosomal RNA", at positions 43 to 1022 of the family's 1478-position model. Lineage: Archaea; Methanobacteriati; Methanobacteriota; Methanomicrobia; Methanomicrobiales. The record is from RNAcentral.